RNAcentral lists this ribosomal RNA (780 nucleotides) under Escherichia coli. RNAcentral's name for it is "partial 23S ribosomal RNA". It matches the Rfam family "Bacterial large subunit ribosomal RNA", at positions 418 to 1199 of the family's 2925-position model. Lineage: Bacteria; Pseudomonadati; Pseudomonadota; Gammaproteobacteria; Enterobacterales; Enterobacteriaceae. The record is from RNAcentral.
CGGGACACGUGGUAUCCUGUCUGAAUAUGGGGGGACCAUCCUCCAAGGCUAAAUACUCCUGACUGACCGAUAGUGAACCAGUACCGUGAGGGAAAGGCGAAAAGAACCCCGGCGAGGGGAGUGAAAAAGAACCUGAAACCGUGUACGUACAAGCAGUGGGAGCACGCUUAGGCGUGUGACUGCGUACCUUUUGUAUAAUGGGUCAGCGACUUAUAUUCUGUAGCAAGGUUAACCGAAUAGGGGAGCCGAAGGGAAACCGAGUCUUAACUGGGCGUUAAGUUGCAGGGUAUAGACCCGAAACCCGGUGAUCUAGCCAUGGGCAGGUUGAAGGUUGGGUAACACUAACUGGAGGACCGAACCGACUAAUGUUGAAAAAUUAGCGGAUGACUUGUGGCUGGGGGUGAAAGGCCAAUCAAACCGGGAGAUAGCUGGUUCUCCCCGAAAGCUAUUUAGGUAGCGCCUCGUGAAUUCAUCUCCGGGGGUAGAGCACUGUUUCGGCAAGGGGGUCAUCCCGACUUACCAACCCGAUGCAAACUGCGAAUACCGGAGAAUGUUAUCACGGGAGACACACGGCGGGUGCUAACGUCCGUCGUGAAGAGGGAAACAACCCAGACCGCCAGCUAAGGUCCCAAAGUCAUGGUUAAGUGGGAAACGAUGUGGGAAGGCCCAGACAGCCAGGAUGUUGGCUUAGAAGCAGCCAUCAUUUAAAGAAAGCGUAAUAGCUCACUGGUCGAGUCGGCCUGCGCGGAAGAUGUAACGGGGCUAAACCAUGCACCGAAG